Long non-coding RNA from Zophobas morio, 385 nucleotides. RefSeq lists it as uncharacterized. The transcript is spliced from 4 exons. NCBI's taxonomy places the organism in Eukaryota, Metazoa, Arthropoda, Insecta, Coleoptera, Tenebrionidae. The record is from RefSeq and is a predicted model, not a curated record.
UUUCAAAGACGAAACUAUUGUUGAGUCGAAUGAUGACGUGACCAAUCAAUUCAAAGAAAGAAUGAAAACAGCCAUCGUGAAUGCUAUGCAUUCUUCUACGGAAUCAAAGAAAUUAUGCGGGUUCCAACUACUUUUACUCGCUUUUUCCUCUUCUCUUUCAUUGGGCGUUUAUGUUAUUCAACAGAAUUCUCUUAUCAGUACGAUAGUAAAAAGUCUUCAAAGUAAAAAAGCUACAGAGCAAUGCUUGGCCCUCGAGGCACUUUCCUAUGCAGCUUAUAGCAAAGAAAUAAAUGAUGCUCUAUUUACUGAAGGCCUUCCUCUAUUGGAGAUCCUGCUAAAUAGUGAAAAUAAUGCAAUAUCAAUAAGAGCAGCUGUUGUACUUGCU